Molecule: ribosomal RNA, 464 nt
Filed under: uncultured bacterium
Lineage: Bacteria
Description: partial 16S ribosomal RNA
Rfam family: Bacterial small subunit ribosomal RNA
Source: RNAcentral
ACGAACGCUGGCGGCGUGCUUAACACAUGCAAGUCGAACGGAAAGGCCCCUUCGGGGGUCCUCGAGUGGCGAACGGGUGAGUAACACGUGAGUAACCUGCCCUUGACUUCGGGAUAACUUCAGGAAACUGGGGCUAAUACCGGAUAGGAAUCCUUGCUGCAUGGUGGGGGUUGGAAAGCUUCGGCGGUUUUGGAUGGACUCGCGGCUUAUCAGCUUGUUGGUGGGGUAGUGGCUUACCAAGGCUUUGACGGGUAGCCGGCCUGAGAGGGCGACCGGCCACAUUGGGACUGAGAUACGGCCCAGACUCCUACGGGAGGCAGCAGUGGGGAAUAUUGCACAAUGGGCGGAAGCCUGAUGCAGCAACGCCGCGGGCGGGAUGACGGCCUUCGGGUUGUAAACCGCUUUCAGCAGGGGCGAAGCUUGUGGUGACGGUACCUGCAGAAGAAGCACCGGCUAACUACGUG